AUGUUGUCAGAAAGCAAAUGAGAGAGAGAGGGGAUACAUCUGUCAUAGAUGUUUCACUCUGCCCUUAACUUCUUAUGAAAAGUUCCUAACUGUUUUAUCUCCAAAGAAAGACAUUUUUUCCUUUUUACCAGUGAUAAGUAACUUCAGUUUAAUAAAAUUGGGCAGGAUGAAUGUUUUUUCCUAAGUUGAACCAACUAAUAAUGGUAAUAACAAUGACAACAACAGCAGCAAUAGGACAGUCUCAAAACCAGGGAUGGCAGAACAAUUAUAGCAUCUGCUACAAUAAUUGCUAUUGUUCUAUGACCUAUGAAGACUUUUCCAUGUACUCUGAGCCUUAGCACAGGCUCAAAGAACAGGCAAUUUUGGUCUUGCCCACAGUAUGCGGAAGUUCCUGGGCUAGGGAUCUAAACCAUAGCCAGUAACUUGAGCCACAACAGUGAUAACUCCAGGCCCUUAACCCACUAAGCCACCAGGGAACUCCCAAGAACAACAAUUUUAGUAUUUAUGUCUUUACUUCUUUUCAUUUACCAUAGGUACACCUACUUACCCAUAACUAUGAAACAAGGAUAGAUUUAGCAUUAAUUAAUCAGUUCUGGUGAUACUAAGGAUGGGCAAUGUUCGUACUUAAACAAUUUGUUCAAACACAGAAAUUUAAAACCUCGGUGUUGAAAGUGAAGAACUAAAGCCCAUCCUAUAAAUUAAAUGCAUCAUGUCUUGUGUAUCACAAAAUGUUGGCUGAAUUGAUUUGCUCUUGAAUUUUACUAUUUCUCAGAUUUCUUUGGGCUAUAUUAAAAAUUGUUAGAGGAUAUAUUACAUUCAUAUUUCUCUGGUAAGUGCUUGGAAAAAAGGCCAUCAAAAAUACUUCUUUGAUCCUCAAGGCAUCGACAAUCUAGUUAAGAAGAUAACAUUUGUAGCCUUCAAAUGUCUUCAACUCAUGGCAGAAGGAAAUCCACCUGUAGGAAAGGAUCACUGAAUAAAAUACAUUGAGUUCUAUGUGCUAAACUAAGUGAUUUAAGGCUCAACAGCUCCUAAAAGAAAACAAAUCCAGGAGCUCCUGCCAUGGCUCAGCGGAAAUGAAUCUGACUAGUAUCCAUGAGGAUGCAGGUUCAAUCCCUGGCCUCGAUCAGUGGGUUAAGGAUCUCGUGUUUCCACGAGCUGUGGUGUAGGUCACAUAAGUGGUUCGGAUCCUGUGUUGCAUGGCUGUGAUGUAGGCCAGCAGCUACAGCUCCAAUUCAAUCCGUAGUCUGGGAACCUCCAUAUACCAAAGACAAAAAAGACAAAAAUAAAUAAAUAAAUAAAAUAAAGAAAAAAAGAAAAGAGAAAAGAGAAUAAACCCAAGAUAAAGAUCUAACAUUAGACUUUAGACUUGGUACAGAGACAUGGCUGGAGCUAAUGUGACUCUGUCUCUGGGCACCCAUCACAGCACCAAGGCUUGUCAUAUAAAGACUUGCCCUCAGUUUAGUCAUCUGUAAAACAGACUGAAAAUUUCCCAUAAACCCAUCUCCUAGGAGCAAAGUCUGGCUUGAAAAGCUUUCUCAGAUGCAAGACAGACACUUUGGUAGUUAUCCUAGGAGUUCCUGUUGUGGCACAGUGGAAAUGAAACAAACUAGUAUCCAUGAGGAUGCAGUUUCAAUCCUUGGCCUCGCUCAGUGGGUAAGGAUCUGGCAUUCCUGUGAGCUGUGGUGUAGGUCACAGACGCAGCUUGGAUCCUGCAUUGCUGUGGCUGUGGUGUAGGCUGGCAGCUAUAGCUCUGAUUCGACUCCUAUCCUGGGAACUUCCAUAUGCUGUGGGUUUAGUCCCAAAAAAGCAAAAACAAAACAAAAAAACAAAAAAUACCCCAAAAACAUUAGUUUUCCUAAAAUACUGGUAGAUACCAUUGAUUACUUACUAUAUGAUGCACACCUCACUGACUAUUUCAUAUGAUUCAGUUUAAUCCUUGCAAAACUAUGAGUAACUAUAACUCCAUCACUUAACAGGCAAACUCAGAGCAUUAAACCUAAGACCUUAAAGUUUGUAAGCGAUGGCGUCAGGAUUUGAAUCCAUUUCUGCCUCUGAACUCUGAAGGUCUCCUGCUUUAAACCACAAUCUAGGCUACCUCUGCUAGCCAUUCCACUGUUGAAUCCAUUAGACUUAUGUAUCCAACUUGUUCUGCUAAACACUGAGAGGUGAUGAGGGAAACGAUGAGAAUUAAAAAUAAAGACUAGGAGUUCCCUGGUGACUCAGUCGGUUAAAGAGCUGGCAUUGUUUGUGCUGUGGCUCAAGUCACUGCUGUGGUGUGGGUUGGAUCCCUAGUUUAGGAAGUCUUGUAUGCUGUAGGCGCAGCCAAAAAAAAAUACAGAAUAUAUCACAGGGCUUUCUAGAGCAGACUAAUCUGUAAAGGCCAUUGAAUAUCCUCAUUUUACAGGUAAUUAAACUAAGGCCAAGAAAGGCUAAAUCAUUUGCCAAAGGUUAUUCACUUACAUAGUCAAAACUAGAUAUAGUACCCAGGGUGAUUGAUUCCUAUUCCAGUCCCCUUUUACUUCUUCAAUACCUUAAAACUGUUAAAUGCUGAGGAAAGAAUAGGGUUCACUGACUUUGCUAAUUAUCUAAAAGGUUAAACAGAAAGCUCUAUGUUAAUCUUUGUUACUGAAAAUCUAUAGAUUAGAUUUCCUGCUUUAGCAAAUAUAAGAACAAAAUAUAUUUCUUGGUUUCAACAUGCUACAGUGGAAUUGGUACCAAAACAGGAUUCAUUUAGGUUCUACUCUCAACUUACCCAGUUAUUUGCCAUGCAAAUGUGUAGACUGUUACAUGAAAGCUUCCCACUGAAUCAUGCCAUUAGAUAUCCAUGCCCUUGCCUGGUGCCUUUAGUAUCUACUCUGAGCUUGGUCAUGUGAUUCGCCUUGGCCAGUGGUACCCUAACAGGUAUAAUACAGCAAGGCUUGCACACUGGGGAAAACUGGAAGCAAUGUGAAAGAGCCCAUUCUAACCACCUUGAGCAUGAAGGACUAUCUUUGAGAGAUGAUCAGUCAGCCCAGCCAUUGCUAUUACAGCUGAGGUCAGUCCUCAGCUCUGGCACCCAGAACUUCAUGGAGGCACCACCAACUACUAAUAAGAUUCAAGCCUGAGGUAAAAGGAGUUUGCUCCCUGGUGGUUACCCACUUUCAAGAGAUGGUGUAUUCUCUUCCAUGUCUCAAGCCUUCCAUGAAAGAUUAGCAAUGAGAUCCAAAUCUAGCCAU
RNAcentral lists this long non-coding RNA (3215 nucleotides) under Sus scrofa (pig). RNAcentral describes it as "lncRNA (ENSSSCG00060005269.1)". Lineage: Eukaryota; Metazoa; Chordata; Mammalia; Artiodactyla; Suidae. The record is from RNAcentral.